GACGAACGCUGGCGGCGUGCUUAACACAUGCAAGUCGAACGGUGAAGGGAUCAGCUUGCUGGUCCUGGAUGAGUGGCGAACGGGUGAGUAACACGUGAGUAACCUGCCCCCUUCUUCUGGAUAACCGCAUGAAAGUGUGGCUAAUACGGGAUAUUCUGCGCCUGCUGCAUGGUGGGUGUGGGAAAGAUAUUGUUUCGGUGGGGGAUGGGCUCGCGGCCUAUCAGCUUGUUGGUGGGGUGAUGGCCUACCAAGGCGGUGACGGGUAGCCGGCCUGAGAGGGUGGACGGUCACACUGGGACUGAGACACGGCCCAGACUCCUACGGGAGGCAGCAGUGGGGAAUAUUGCACAAUGGGCGCAAGCCUGAUGCAGCGACGCCGCGUGAGGGAUGGAGGCCUUCGGGUUGUGAACCUCUUUCGCCAGUGAAGCAGGCCUGUCCCUUGUGGGUGGGUUGACGGUAGCUGGAGAAGAAGCGCCGGCUAACUACGUG
This 489-nucleotide ribosomal RNA is filed under the name uncultured bacterium. RNAcentral's name for it is "partial 16S ribosomal RNA". It matches the Rfam family "Bacterial small subunit ribosomal RNA", at positions 28 to 507 of the family's 1533-position model. The record is from RNAcentral.